GACGUAGGGCGCGAGCGUUGUCCGGAUUUAUUGGGCGUAAAGAGCUCGUAGGCGGCUUGUUGCGUCGACUGUGAAAACCUGCAGCUUAACUGUGGGCGUGCGGUCGAUACGGGCAUCACUGGAGUUCGGCAGGGGAGACUGGAAUUCCUGGUGUAGCGGUGAAAUGCGCAGAUAUCAGGAGGAACACCGGUGGCGAAGGCGGGUCUCUGGGCCGAUACUGACGCUGAGGAGCGAAAGCGUGGGGAGCGAACAGG
RNAcentral lists this ribosomal RNA (254 nucleotides) under uncultured bacterium. Its description in RNAcentral is "partial 16S ribosomal RNA". It matches the Rfam family "Bacterial small subunit ribosomal RNA", at positions 524 to 776 of the family's 1533-position model. The record is from RNAcentral.